Molecule: ribosomal RNA, 301 nt
Filed under: uncultured bacterium
Lineage: Bacteria
Description: partial 16S ribosomal RNA
Rfam family: Bacterial small subunit ribosomal RNA
Source: RNAcentral
CAGCAGCCGCGGGAAUACGGAGGGUGCGAGCGUUAAUCGGAAUUACUGGGCGUAAAGCGUACGCAGGCGGUUUGUUAAGUCAGAUGUGAAAUCCCCGAGCUUAACUCGGGAACUGCAUUUGAAACUGGCAGGCUAGAGUCUCGUAGAGGGGGGUAGAAUUCCAGGUGUAGCGGCGAAAUGCGUAGAGAUCUGGAGGAAUACCGGUGGCGAAGGCGGCCCCCUGGACGAAGACUGACGCUCAGGCACGAAAGCGUGGGGAGCAACCAGGAUUAGAUACCCGGGUAGUCCCUGUCUCUUAUAC